RNAcentral lists this ribosomal RNA (493 nucleotides) under uncultured bacterium. RNAcentral describes it as "bacterial SSU rRNA". It matches the Rfam family "Bacterial small subunit ribosomal RNA", at positions 36 to 571 of the family's 1533-position model. The record is from RNAcentral.
CUGGCGGUAUGCUUACACAUGCAAGUCGAACGAAAGUUUUAACUUUAGUGGCGAACGGGUGCGUAAUACGUGAGAAUCUGCCCUUAGGAGAAGAAUAACUGCUGGAAACGGCUGCUAAAUCUUCAUAUGUCGAGAGAUGAAAUAGUUUAGGCUGCCUAAGGAUGAGCUCGCGCCUGAUUAGCUAGUUGGUGAGGUAAUGGCUCACCAAGGCCACGAUCAGUAGCUGGUUUGAGAGAACGAUCAGCCACACUGGGACUGAGACACGGCCCAGACUCCUCCGGGAGGCAGCAGUGAGGAAUUUUCCGCAAUGGGCGAAAGCCUGACGGAGCAAUACCGCGUGAGGGAUGAAGGAUUUUGGUCUGUAAACCUCUUUUCCUCAAGAAAGAAGUUCUGACGGUACUUGAGGAAUAAGCAUCGGCUAACUCCGUGCCAGCAGCCGCGGUAAUACGGGGGAUGCAAGCGUUAUCCGGAAUCAUUGGGCGUAAAGCGCCUG